CAACGACAAGCCGCGCCGCACAAGGGCGGCUCAUCCAUUGCUCUUCCCCGCUCACGCAUAGGCACACGUAGGCCGAAGACUAGAUGCGAUACAGCUCGGCGCAACCAACGGAAAAAGAGUAAGAGCCUUCCGCAACAUGCGUUCCACGCCGCACGGCCCACUUCUCCAUCCUCGGACCUCCUCGGUCCGCCAGGACGCGAUCACGUACCCCUACGCCUACGCUGCACCUGGUGGACAGACGCCGUCUGCUGGCUGUGAGCAUGACGACAACACCGCCGCCGAGGCGGGCCCCGCACGCCGCUGCGUGCCCGUGCGCGGAAACCGUGCGACGCCUGCAAGCAAUACUAACCCCUAUCCUAGUGAUGUGAGCUGCAGUCUUUCCUACCCGGAGCCCGCGCCAGCCGUGGCGACGACACAGCCGUCGUCGACCUUCCAACAGGACCAAAAGCCGGUUGUGUACACGGUACAGAACACAACCACCGACACCCACACCCACGAGACCGAGUACGGCGGGGUUCUGACGAUCCGCACGACAACCGUGACGCGCACCAUCACAGAGCGCCUCGUGGCAAGCGAUGAAGACGACGACAGCAGUGAGAACGGCGAGGUGCACCUGGAAGACGCGCGAAGCGAGGCGUCGUUGCCGUCUCUGCCUCAUUGAGCGAAGGACAUGGGCUGUAGCGCAGCAGCAGUCAUCCUGUCUGCGGUUCACCACCGCCCACUCUUUUCUUCGCUGCUGGUCGCCGUUUGUGUUGUCGCUUGCCUCGCUGUGUAUGUGGGUCGGUCUCCUUGGCGGUGGCGUGGUGGAGGGAAAGGAAGGGAGGGGAGAGCAAGUGUGCACGUGGCUGCCGUCCCUGUUUCCGCUCCCGCCCCCCCCCGCCCCCACACACACGCGCACACAUCUUCAAUCCACUUGAGCAUUCCGAGUGCCAUGUACUCCAGCCGCCUUUUCGUAUUCCCCACCCAGCCCCUUCCGCAUCACACACGCACGCACACAACUCACAGCUCUCCCUCAUGGGCCACUCUCCGCCCCUCCGCCUCCCCCCUUCCCUGUCUCCUUCCCUCACCGCUUGGCGUCUCGCGUGUAUGCCCGAUCAACGGAGACGCACACGUACACGCGUGUGUGUGUGUGUGAUGCGGGUGGCGACACACAGCAAAGAAAGGCACGCGCAGGGAUGAAGUGGCGCACGGGUUUUGCCGAGCCUGCUGCCUCCUUCAAUGCCUCCCCGUGUGGCUAUCCGAGUCGUCAGCGCACGCAAGCCAGCCCACGCACAUACACAGAGUUGGGGGGGGGGGGGGGGGCAGACGCGCCAGGGCGCGUGGAUGCGCGCUCACAGGUAUCCUCUCCCUGUUCACCGGCGUGCCUUCAUUCUUCUACAGUACCUUCUCUGUUCGUUCUCCUCAUUCUCCCUCUCUUCAACGGCAACGCAUACGCACCCGACCCGCGUCGCCGCUUGACCGCCCUCACCCCCCCCCUCUCUCUGCCUCUCUCCCAUGCCCGCACACACGUGGCAUGGACCGACACUAACACCAACGCCGACCCCGCACAUGGUAUUCGCGUCGUCAUCAUCGACCGCAG
RNAcentral lists this unclassified non-coding RNA (1579 nucleotides) under Leishmania donovani. Its description in RNAcentral is "gene:LdHU3.04.1100(CDS-product:hypothetical_prote in_conserved)". Lineage: Eukaryota; Euglenozoa; Kinetoplastea; Trypanosomatida; Trypanosomatidae. The record is from RNAcentral.